Long non-coding RNA from Felis catus (domestic cat), 1546 nucleotides. RefSeq lists it as uncharacterized. The transcript has 3 exons. The record is from RefSeq and is a predicted model, not a curated record. Lineage: Eukaryota; Metazoa; Chordata; Mammalia; Carnivora; Felidae.
GCUAUAGAUGUUAGUUCUCAGAAGAACCUCUCACCCCACGCUGCAGACGCUCUGUCGGCAGAGUGUGGGAUGUCUCUGCUGCCUGAUUUAUAGAAAUUCAGCCGGUUCCCUCGGAGUCGCACCCAUUGGAGAAAACCAAAGCUCAGAGAGGGUAAGAAACUUCCCCAAGGUCACACAGCAGAGUCAGAAACAAAGCCUGGGCCCAGGGAAUCCUCAGCACUACUGUCUUUUGUGGCGUGUCUGAACUUGUCCACCGAGCUCCACGUCACACACAGAAUGAUGGAGGAGGACAGCCACACGGGUGAGCCAGCAAGGUCAUCCAAAUCAGGUGCUUGGCCCAGCUUGGCCCCAAAACCUCCUCAGUCAGAAGAAACAGAACAAGACAUGAAUUCAUGCAAACAGAUGCCCAAAGUUAGCUGUACAAAUAACAGCCUCCCAGCCCCGGUCUGAACUCAGCUGGGACAGCCUGCCUCCUCACCCUUCAAGGGUCUCAGACAACCUGCUUCUUUAGCCCUAGGCUACAGAGAAAAAGAAAAGGUCCAAAACUUAAUUUGGCGAGGAUUUCCUCCAAGGCACCGCUUCCCGAAUCUUCAACGAGCUGUGCUGCUCUUCUCCGGACCUGAGUUGAAGGCAGCGUAUCGAUCGCCAGGUCUGCAGCCCAACUCCUGAGCUCCGCUGCCUGGAGGGGCUGGGAAAGCCGGCAGGGCCCAGGAGCCCAGGAGGAGCGCAGGGGCUCUGCCCUCCCCUGGGCACCCGUAAAACCCUUCCCUGAAUUUCAAGGUGACGGCCAACAUACUGCACAGAAAGCACACACCAGACUAAAAUACGGGAGUGGACCCAGGUCAUAAGUGAACACUGCAAUGGGCCAAGAACGGGGGCACUUGUGUUUAUUCCCGUGUAAUUUGCCUACUUACUGAGCCCUGUUGUGUGACACAGGGCAUUGUGCCAGGGGCCGAUGGGACCAUCUCUGUACUCCCUCUGGGAGCUUACAGGCCCCUGGCAGAGCCUGUACUCUAGUGGGGGUGAGCAGAAGUGGAGGGGGUCAGCAAAGUCCCUAGGGGACCCUCAGACUGAGUAAUGGGAAACAGCUCGGGAUUCCAGCGCUGGGAGAAGAGAGAACCGGGGGGACGGUGGGCACAGGAGGUCGGCACAUUCAAAGAACAAAAACAUACAGGCCACUCCCGGGACUUCGAACAUAGAGGAAGGUGUCAUCGUGAUGGGUCCUCCGGAAGCCAGGGGCACUGAAAGUGAAAAGGUUAACAAGGGGGCAAAAUGAGGCCACGUCCACUGCCAUCACCGGCCUGCAGGUGAGGAGGCCCAAGUGCAAAAAGGCAAAGAACAGAUAUAGUAAAUGGCAGCGUCCUUCUGACACCAGGACCCAAGCCUGUGACCCAUGAUCUCCAGUUCCACUUUUCUGCGGCUUUAAAAUGUAGAAACAUAAACAAAGCAGGCAAGAAUAUCCAAUGGGAAAAAAGAAUGUCUCUUCAACAAAUGGUGUUGGGAAAACUGCACAGCAACAUGUAGAAGACUGAACCUGGACCACUUU